RNAcentral lists this ribosomal RNA (1404 nucleotides) under Pediococcus acidilactici. Its description in RNAcentral is "bacterial SSU rRNA". It matches the Rfam family "Bacterial small subunit ribosomal RNA". Lineage: Bacteria; Bacillati; Bacillota; Bacilli; Lactobacillales; Lactobacillaceae. The record is from RNAcentral.
CUUGCACUGAAUGAGAUUUUAACACGAAGUGAGUGGCGGACGGGUGAGUAACACGUGGGUAACCUGCCCAGAAGCAGGGGAUAACACCUGGAAACAGAUGCUAAUACCGUAUAACAGAGAAAACCGCCUGGUUUUCUUUUAAAAGAUGGCUCUGCUAUCACUUCUGGAUGGACCCGCGGCGCAUUAGCUAGUUGGUGAGGUAACGGCUCACCAAGGCGAUGAUGCGUAGCCGACCUGAGAGGGUAAUCGGCCACAUUGGGACUGAGACACGGCCCAGACUCCUACGGGAGGCAGCAGUAGGGAAUCUUCCACAAUGGACGCAAGUCUGAUGGAGCAACGCCGCGUGAGUGAAGAAGGGUUUCGGCUCGUAAAGCUCUGUUGUUAAAGAAGAACGUGGGUGAGAGUAACUGUUCACCCAGUGACGGUAUUUAACCAGAAAGCCACGGCUAACUACGUGCCAGCAGCCGCGGUAAUACGUAGGUGGCAAGCGUUAUCCGGAUUUAUUGGGCGUAAAGCGAGCGCAGGCGGUCUUUUAAGUCUAAUGUGAAAGCCUUCGGCUCAACCGAAGAAGUGCAUUGGAAACUGGGAGACUUGAGUGCAGAAGAGGACAGUGGAACUCCAUGUGUAGCGGUGAAAUGCGUAGAUAUAUGGAAGAACACCAGUGGCGAAGGCGGCUGUCUGGUCUGUAACUGACGCUGAGGCUCGAAAGCAUGGGUAGCGAACAGGAUUAGAUACCCUGGUAGUCCAUGCCGUAAACGAUGAUUACUAAGUGUUGGAGGGUUUCCGCCCUUCAGUGCUGCAGCUAACGCAUUAAGUAAUCCGCCUGGGGAGUACGACCGCAAGGUUGAAACUCAAAAGAAUUGACGGGGGCCCGCACAAGCGGUGGAGCAUGUGGUUUAAUUCGAAGCUACGCGAAGAACCUUACCAGGUCUUGACAUCUUCUGCCAACCUAAGAGAUUAGGCGUUCCCUUCGGGGACAGAAUGACAGGUGGUGCAUGGUUGUCGUCAGCUCGUGUCGUGAGAUGUUGGGUUAAGUCCCGCAACGAGCGCAACCCUUAUUACUAGUUGCCAGCAUUCAGUUGGGCACUCUAGUGAGACUGCCGGUGACAAACCGGAGGAAGGUGGGGACGACGUCAAAUCAUCAUGCCCCUUAUGACCUGGGCUACACACGUGCUACAAUGGAUGGUACAACGAGUCGCGAAACCGCGAGGUUUAGCUAAUCUCUUAAAACCAUUCUCAGUUCGGACUGUAGGCUGCAACUCGCCUACACGAAGUCGGAAUCGCUAGUAAUCGCGGAUCAGCAUGCCGCGGUGAAUACGUUCCCGGGCCUUGUACACACCGCCCGUCACACCAUGAGAGUUUGUAACACCCAAAGCCGGUGGGGUAACCUUUUAGGAGCUAGCC